This 253-nucleotide ribosomal RNA is filed under the name uncultured bacterium. Its description in RNAcentral is "partial 16S ribosomal RNA". It matches the Rfam family "Bacterial small subunit ribosomal RNA", at positions 524 to 776 of the family's 1533-position model. The record is from RNAcentral.
UACGUAGGUGGCAAGCGUUAUCCGGAAUUACUGGGCGUAAAGCGCACGCAGGCGGCUCUUUAAGUUUGACGUGAAAGCUCCCGGCUUAACUGGGAGAGGUCGUUGAAGACUGAAGAGCUUGAGGCAAUGAGAGGGGUGUAGAAUUCCCGGUGUAGUGGUGGAAUGCGUAGAUAUCGGGGGGAAUACCAGUGGCGAAAGCGGCACCCUAGCAUUAGCCUGACGCUCAUGUGCGAAAGCGUGGGGAGCGAACCGG